This 724-nucleotide ribosomal RNA is filed under the name uncultured bacterium. RNAcentral's name for it is "bacterial SSU rRNA". It matches the Rfam family "Bacterial small subunit ribosomal RNA", at positions 28 to 776 of the family's 1533-position model. The record is from RNAcentral.
GAUGAACGCUGACAGAAUGCUUAACACAUGCAAGUCGACUCGAGUCUUCGGACUUGGGUGGCGCACGGGUGAGUAACGCGUAAAGAACUUGCCUCUUAGACCGGGACAACAUCUGGAAACGGAUGCUAAUACCGGAUAUUAUGAUUUUUUCGUAUGGAGGAAUCAUGAAAGCUAGAUGCGCUAAGAGAGAGCUUUGCGUCCCAUUAGCUAGUUGGUGAGGUAACGGCCCACCAAGGCAAUGAUGGGUAGCCGGCCUGAGAGGGUGAACGGCCACAAGGGGACUGAGACACGGCCCUUACUCCUACGGGAGGCAGCAGUGGGGAAUAUUGGACAAUGGACCACAAGUCUGAUCCAGCAAUUCUGUGUGCACGAUGACGUUUUUCGGAAUGUAAAGUGCUUUCAGUCGGGAAGAAGUCAGUGACGGUACCGACAGAAGAAGCGACGGCUAAAUACGUGCCAGCAGCCGCGGUAAUACGUAUGUCGCAAGCGUUAUCCGGAUUUAUUGGGCGUAAAGCGCGUCUAGGCGGCAAGGAAAGUCUGAUGUGAAAAUGCGGAGCUCAACUCCGUAUGGCGUUGGAAACUGCCUUACUAGAGUACUGGAGAGGUAGGCGGAACUACAAGUGUAGAGGUGAAAUUCGUAGAUAUUUGUAGGAAUGCCGAUGGGGAAGCCAGCCUACUGGACAGAUACUGACGCUAAAGCGCGAAAGCGUGGGUAGCAAACAGG